Molecule: ribosomal RNA, 253 nt
Filed under: uncultured bacterium
Lineage: Bacteria
Description: partial 16S ribosomal RNA
Rfam family: Bacterial small subunit ribosomal RNA
Source: RNAcentral
UACGAAGGGGGCUAGCGUUGCUCGGAAUCACUGGGCGUAAAGGGUGCGUAGGCGGGUUUUUAAGUCAGGGGUGAAAUCCUGGAGCUCAACUCCAGAACUGCCUUUGAUACUGAAGAUCUUGAGUCCGGGAGAGGUGAGUGGAAUUCCUGGUGUAGCGGUGAAAUGCGCAGAUAUCAGGAAGAACACCCGUGGCGAAGGCGGCUCUCUGGUACGUGACUGACGCUGAGACGCGAAAGCGUGGGGAGCGAACAGG